This 491-nucleotide ribosomal RNA is filed under the name uncultured bacterium. Its description in RNAcentral is "partial 16S ribosomal RNA". It matches the Rfam family "Bacterial small subunit ribosomal RNA", at positions 29 to 506 of the family's 1533-position model. The record is from RNAcentral.
AGUGAACGCUGGCGGUAGGCCUAACACAUGCAAGUCGAACGGCAGCACAGUAAGAGCUUGCUCUUACGGGUGGCGAGUGGCGGACGGGUGAGGAAUACAUCGGAAUCUACUUUUUCGUGGGGGAUAACGUGGGGAAACUUACGCUAAUACCGCAUACGACCUACGGGUGAAAGCAGGGGAUCUUCGGACCUUGCGCGAUUGAAUGAGCCGAUGUCGGAUUAGCUAGUUGGCGGGGUAAAGGCCCACCAAGGCGACGACCCGUAGCUGGUCUGAGAGGAUGAUCAGCCACACUGGAACUGAGACACGGUCCAGACUCCUACGGGAGGCAGCAGUGGGGAAUAUUGGACAAUGGGCGCAAGCCUGAUCCAGCCAUACCGCGUGGGUGAAGAAGGCCUUCGGGUUGUAAAGCCCUUUUGUUGGGAAAGAAAAGCAGCAGGUUAAUACCCCGCUGUUCUGACGGUACCCAAAGAAUAAGCACCGGCUAACUUCGU